AGUGAACGCCGGCGGUAGGCCUAACACAUGCAAGUCGAACGGCAGCACAGUAAGAGCUUGCUCUUACGGGUGGCGAGUGGCGGACGGGUGAGGAAUACAUCGGAAUCUACUUUUUCGUGGGGGAUAACGUAGGGAAACUUACGCUAAUACCGCAUACGACCUACGGGUGAAAGCAGGGGAUCUUCGGACCUUGCGCGAUUGAAUGAGCCGAUGUCGGAUUAGCUAGUUGGCGGGGUAAAGGCCCACCAAGGCGACGAUCCGUAGCUGGUCUGAGAGGAUGAGCAGCCACACUGGAACUGAGACACGGUCCAGACUCCUACGGUAGGCAGCAGUGGGGAAUAUUGGACAAUGGGCGCAAGCCUGAUCCAGCCAUACCGCGUGGGUGAAGAAGGCCUUCGGGUUGUAAAGCCCUUUUGUUGGGAAAGAAAAGCAGCAGGUUAAUACCCCGCUGUUCUGACGGUACCCAAAGAAUAAGCGCCGGCUAACUUCGUG
This 492-nucleotide ribosomal RNA is filed under the name uncultured bacterium. RNAcentral describes it as "partial 16S ribosomal RNA". It matches the Rfam family "Bacterial small subunit ribosomal RNA", at positions 29 to 507 of the family's 1533-position model. The record is from RNAcentral.